RNAcentral lists this long non-coding RNA (1777 nucleotides) under Pocillopora damicornis (cauliflower coral). RNAcentral describes it as "uncharacterized LOC113671021". Lineage: Eukaryota; Metazoa; Cnidaria; Anthozoa; Scleractinia; Pocilloporidae. The record is from RNAcentral.
AUUAUGCGCCAAAGGUGUUAAAAAGGAAAGUAAGUGUAGAAAAAAAAAAAAAAAAAAAGAAAGAGACCGAAGUAAUAGAGGAAGAAAACACUUAAAAUCUAACUGCUGCCGUGUUCUUUAUAUCGUUUGCAUCAACCGCGUGAUGGAAACAACUGACUUUUUAAAAUUCUUCACAUAACAACAAAAAGCAAAAGUCCGGGAGGCUUUGUGUGUGGUGGUGUAUUAAACACGCUGAAAUGAGAUGCUUCACUUUUUUUCGACGAAAUUACUAAUGUGGUUAUAUAAUUAUUUUAUUGUCUUCUGUGCCACAAUGUAUUUCUCAAUUUGAAAAGAAUUCAAAGCGCAAUUUCCUUUGGCUCCUUCGUAAUUGUUCUUUCGUUAAAUUUAUCUCCUCUGGAAAUUGAUGAACUUACGUCUCAGAUUUUCAAUUUAACAACGAGGAAAACUGAAACGCGAAAUUCUGACGGCUUUGGUACCUCUGAGAAGAGAAAAGGAAUAUGAAAGAAAACGUGCUGUUGGUUUGAAAAUUCGAGAAUCUCCAAACCGUUUCUCCAUCCUAGAUGUGCUUCUCGAUCCGCCCCUUUCUGUCGAUACUCUCUUAAUGACAUGGUGUUGGCAUUAAGUUCCUUUCUUUUACCUAAAAAACUGUAGAUCGAAGAAAGAUCUCUAGUCUCUGAAGUUUCAAAGGAAUUUUCUACGGUCUGGUGACGAUUGCUCUCAGCCCUAAUUAUGUCGACCUACGCGUUGAAAUCACGAAUUUAUAGGCUAUAUACAGUCAAGAUUUGAAAGGAAGUAAAUGUUCUCCUACUUUUAAUUAUCAUUAUUAUUUUGGCUUUUAAAAGGCACUGGUUAAAAACUGACUUUUGUAUAGAUGUAUGGAAUUUUUAGUAGUGGGCUCCCGCUUAGUUUUAUUGAGUCUCUUUUGUGAGAAUCAUGUUUGAAAGUGGGGUCUAGAUCGAGGAGUUUCUAAAUAGCGUAAAAGUAUCCUAUCAUAAAAUUUUCCUUAAUCUUUCAGAUUUCGUGUUUAAAGAAUAGUCGGACCAAAAAAAUACAAUUUUGACACCACCGAAACUUCGUGAAAACCUUUUUCAUGAGGCGCUUUAGGCUAACUGUCUCACGCUUACUGUUUACUAUAACCGCAAUUAAGAUCUAAUGUAUUCAUUCUAAUUGUUUGAUUGUCAACAACACGUACGAUGCAUUCGCGAUCAAGAAAGUAUGAAAAAGGGCAUUAUUCUCUCAGUUACCGAAGGUACAGCAACAACUAGUGCACGGUCGAAAAUCUCGGAAAAUAUAGGCUAUCAUUGAAGAUUCUCGCACUUGAAAUGCUUGAUUUAUUGUAUCAGUUAAACUUACCUGAAAACAUAGUCGACUCUAUUUCGGCGAGAAAAUCAAUUCCGUUGCCUGAAGGCGUAAAAUUGUGCACAUAAGUUAACCUUAGAUUAAGAGACAUCGUUUCAAUCGUUGAUCGAAACAAUACUGAUAUUGUGCUCUACUGAAGUUACUUGAAAUAGACAGAGGGCCAAACGAGGACCGUAUCGAUAGUUUUGAGUUUCCUUGUACAUAGUUUCGUUUUGAGGGUAAAAUUGUGAGAAAUUCAAGAGAUAACUUAGGUCACGUAGGAUAAUUCUGAUUUGAUGUGCAUUUACUCCACAGUUCCUCGACUCAGCUCAGUGGCUUGUGUAUGGGGUCCCAGGGUUUCUCAGUUUGAGCUGUAACUUUUGUUGUUUUAAUAUUGGGAAGCCAAAUAAUAAAAUGAGCUCGUUUGGUUCAGCGUGAA